This 986-nucleotide long non-coding RNA is filed under the name Triticum aestivum (bread wheat). RNAcentral's name for it is "long non-coding RNA (TAES_LNC011034)". Lineage: Eukaryota; Viridiplantae; Streptophyta; Magnoliopsida; Poales; Poaceae. The record is from RNAcentral.
AAAUCAAAUCAAAGAGAACACCAAAACUUGGUGAUCAAGGUUCUUGAAUGCAAGUCACAAGAAGAUUUUAUUGCUGGACAUCAUUGUCCAUUCUCUGGCAUGAUGCUAGAGUGCAACUCUAGUUACAAAUGACGUAAUUACAAUGACGGGAGAAAAAGUGCCGGCGCAGUAGGCUUUCUUGACAUUGUCCCAGUGACGCACGCAAAUGAAAUAGCAUUUGAAAUUCUCGCACAGCAUGGGCUCGCAAGGGGUACUCCUCUCCACGCAAUGCUCUGUAGACAACAUACAUUCGUCGGUAAAAGAACUCCAAACUAGAAGGGUCCAAAGGAAUUUGUGCAGUUGAGCUGCCAAUAUUCAUGAAGACUUUUCCUACUCCGGCUGCAAGGAAAAAGUAACAGGGAGAUGGACGCGGCUAAUCUGCACCCGAGCUCAUAUGCUCCCGCAUGAACAGUAAAAUCGAAAAAAAUUAAAAAAAAUUCAAAAAAUUCCAAAUUUUUUUUGAGUGAAACAUUGACAAAAGUUCUAAGUGCCUGCAAAAAUUCGUCGUGAAAUCACAUUCCUAGAAGGCGUGGCAAAAAAAACAAAAAAAGUACUCUGAAAAAGCUACUUUCAAACGCAUUUUGAAGCACUGAAUUUGUUUUUUUUGCCACGCCUUCUAGGAAUGUGAUUCCGUGACGAAUUUUUGCAGGCACUUAGAACUUUUGUCAAUGUUUGUCUCAAAAAAAAUUGGAAUUUUUUGAAUUUUUUUUUGUUUUUUCCGAUUCUACUGUUCAUGCGGGAGCAUAUGAGCUCGGGUGCAGAAUGGACUUUUCGCAGGGAGAUUGAGUUUGUACCAGUGCAAGUGGAAUUUCCUAGGAGCCCAAGCACCAUCAGGCAAAGCAGAAUAGUUUUCUCCCCCAUAAUAUAAAGCACAAACUUCUUCUAUGUCUCGUUUCUACUAUUUGGGCUUCAAGAAGCAUAGAUGUAGUGCUAUAUUUAUGGACUUA